CGGAGAGUACCGGCCUGAGUUCCGUGGUGGACGCGGUGGUGGUUUUGGCCGUGGAGGUGGUUCACCCAGCGCUAUCACCGAGUAGAGCCUUCUUCUGAAUAUGUUAUUUACAAUUCUCCAAUAUGGAAUUUGAGGGAGCUACAGGACAGCAUUAGCUCUGCUAUGUCUCAGGCCUUAGGUGUGAGUUAGAAAUUCUAACUUACAGUGCUGCGUAAUUCCAAUGAUCGCAAUGAGCUUUACUGGAGAAGCACUUACUUACUCGCAUCUUUGUCGUUGACCAAAUUUGGAGAGCACAAUGG
Molecule: long non-coding RNA, 299 nt
Filed under: Physcomitrium patens
Lineage: Eukaryota; Viridiplantae; Streptophyta; Bryopsida; Funariales; Funariaceae
Description: long non-coding RNA (PPAT_LNC001284)
Source: RNAcentral